This 1242-nucleotide ribosomal RNA is filed under the name metagenome. RNAcentral describes it as "bacterial LSU rRNA". It matches the Rfam family "Bacterial large subunit ribosomal RNA", at positions 1564 to 2815 of the family's 2925-position model. The record is from RNAcentral.
UGAAUACGAGAUGCUACGGCGUCGAAGCAGUCUAUGUCAUACUUCCAAGAAAAGCUCGCACUGUCAUAAACAAAUAAUGCCUGUACCAUAACCGACACAGGUGGGUAGGUAGAGUAUACUAAGGGGCGCGAGAUAACUCUCUCUAAGGAACUCGGCAAAAUGACUCCGUAACUUCGGGAGAAGGAGUGCCUUAUUUAUAAGGUUGCAAUAACAAGAUCCAAGCAACUGUUUAUCAAAAACACAGGUCUCCGCUAAGUCGUAAGACGAUGUAUGGGGGCUGACGCCUGCCCAGUGCCAGAAGGUUAAAGAAGUUGGUUAGCAUUCGCGAAGCUGAUAACUGAAGCCCUGGUGAACGGCGGCCGUAACAAUAACGGUCCUAAGGUAGCGAAAUUCCUUGUCGGGUAAGUUCCGACCCGCACGAAAGGCGUAAUGAUUUGGAUACUGUCUCGGAGAGGGGCUCGGUGAAAUAGACUUGUCUGUGAAGAUGCGGACUACCUGCACCAGGACAGAAAGACCCUAUGAAGCUUUACUGUAACUUGAGAUUGAAAUUGGACUUUACUUGCGCAGUAUAGGUGGGAGGCGUUGAUAAUAUUCUUGCGGGAUUAUUUGAGCCAUCAGUGAGAUACCACUCUUGUAAUGUUAGAUUUCUAACUUUGUAUCAUUAUCUGGUCAAAGGACAGUUUCAGGCGGGCAGUUUGACUGGGGCGGUCGCCUCCUAAACGGUAACGGAGGCGCACAAAGGUUUCCUCUGAACGGGUAGAAAUCGUAUCUAGAGUGUAAAGGCAUAAGGAAGCUUGACUGUGAGACCUACAAGUCGAGCAGGGACGAAAGUCGGUCUUAGUGAUCUGACGGUGCUGAGUGGAAAGGCCGUCACUCAACGGAUAAAAGUUACUCUAAGGAUAACAGGCUGAUCUCCCCCAAGAGUUCACAUCGACGGGGAGGUUUGGCACCUCGAUGUCGGCUCAUCGCAUCCUGGGGCGGUAGUACGUCCCAAGGGUUGGGCUGUUCGCCCAUGAAAGCGGUACGCGAGCUGGGUUCAUAACGUCGUGAGACAGUUCGGUCCAUAUCCGGUGUAGGCGUUAGAAUAUUGAGAGGAGCCUUCUUUAGUACGAGAGGACCGAGAAGGACAUACCUCUGGUGUACCAGUUAUCGUGCCAACGGUAAACGCUGGGUAGCUAUGUAUGGAGUGGAUAACCGCUGAAAGCAUCUAAGUGGGAAGCCCACCUCAAGAUAAGUAUUCUC